AGGACAAACGCUGGCGGCGUGCAUAACACAUGCAAGUCGAACGAGCAUAGCAAUAUGCGAGUGGCGGACGGGUGAGGAACACGUGGAUAACCGACCUGUUACUGGGGAAUACCCGUGGGAAACCACGGCUAAUACCGCAUACGUUCGAGAGAAGAAAGCCUUCGGGCGGUAACAGACGGGUCUGCGGUCGAUUAGCUAGAUGGUGCGGUAACGGCGCACCAUGGCGACGAUCGAUAGCUGGUCUGAGAGGAUGAUCAGCCACAUUGGGAUUGAGAACGGCCCAAAUCCCUACGGGGAGCAGCAGUGAGGAAUAUUCGGCAAUGGGCGCAAGCCUGACCGAGCGACGCCGCGUGGGGAUGACGCGUUUCGGCGUGUAAACUCCUUUCUGGGGACGAGAAGUGGACGGUACCCCAGGAACUCAGCCUCGGCUAACUACGUGCCAGCAGCCGC
Molecule: ribosomal RNA, 450 nt
Filed under: uncultured bacterium
Lineage: Bacteria
Description: SSU rRNA
Rfam family: Bacterial small subunit ribosomal RNA
Source: RNAcentral